RNAcentral lists this ribosomal RNA (723 nucleotides) under Callistosporium hesleri. RNAcentral's name for it is "partial 25S ribosomal RNA". It matches the Rfam family "Eukaryotic large subunit ribosomal RNA", at positions 1 to 698 of the family's 3401-position model. Lineage: Eukaryota; Fungi; Basidiomycota; Agaricomycetes; Agaricales; Callistosporiaceae. The record is from RNAcentral.
UUGACCUCAAAUCAGGUAGGACUACCCGCUGAACUUAAGCAUAUCAAUAAGCGGAGGAAAAGAAACUAACAAGGAUUCCCUUAGUAACUGCGAGUGAAGUGGGAAAAGCUCAAAUUUAAAAUCUGGCAGUUUCUAACUGUCCGAGUUGUAAUCUAGAGAAGUAAUAUCUGUGCUGGACCAUGUACAAGUCUCCUGGAAUGGAGUGUCAUAGAGGGUGAGAAUCCCGUCUCUGACAUGGACUUCUAGUGCAUUGUGAUAUGCUCUCAAAGAGUCGAGUUGUUUGGGAAUGCAGCUCUAAAUGGGUGGUAAAUUCCAUCUAAAGCUAAAUAUUGGCGAGAGACCGAUAGUGAACAAGUACCGUGAGGGAAAGAUGAAAAGAACUUUGGAAAGAGAGUUAAACAGUAUGUGAAAUUGUUGAAAGGGAAACACUUGAAGUCAGUCUUGUUGACUUGGGGAUCAACCUUGUUUAUUGCUUGGUGUACUUCCUAGUUGACAGGCCAGCAUCAAUUUUGAUCAAUAGAUAAAAGUCAAGGGAAUGUGGCAUCUUUGGAUGUGUUAUAGCCCUUGGUUGCAUAUAUUGGUUGGGAUUGAGGAACUCAGCAUGCCGCAAGGUCAGGUUUUUUUUUAAAACCAUGUUCAUGCUUAGGAUGCUGGCAUAAUGGCUUUAAUUGACCCGUCUUGAAACACGGACCAAGGAGUCUAACAUGCCUGCGAGUGUUUGGG